This 253-nucleotide ribosomal RNA is filed under the name uncultured bacterium. RNAcentral describes it as "partial 16S ribosomal RNA". It matches the Rfam family "Bacterial small subunit ribosomal RNA", at positions 524 to 776 of the family's 1533-position model. The record is from RNAcentral.
UACAUGGGGUGCAAACGUUGCUCGGAAUUAUUGGGCGUAAAGCGCGCGUAGGCGGUUACUUAAGUCGGAUGUGAAAGCCCUCGGCUUAACUGAGGAAGUGCACCCGAAACUGAGUAGCUAGAGUACGAAAGAGGGUCGCGGAAUUCCCGGUGUAGAGGUGAAAUUCGUAGAUAUCAGGAGGAACACCAAUGGCGAAGGCAGCUCGCUGGGACGUGACUGACGCUGAGACGCGAAAGCGUGGGGAGCAAACAGG